RNAcentral lists this small RNA (78 nucleotides) under Flavobacterium frigidimaris. RNAcentral's name for it is "Flavo-1 RNA". It matches the Rfam family "Flavo-1 RNA". Lineage: Bacteria; Pseudomonadati; Bacteroidota; Flavobacteriia; Flavobacteriales; Flavobacteriaceae. The record is from RNAcentral.
AACGAGCCCUGAUAGAAGUGGAAAUCCUUUUGCGAAGGCGUUCGCCGCAAAAGAUUGGAACGAAGAACGGGAUUAGCU